This 222-nucleotide ribosomal RNA is filed under the name uncultured bacterium. RNAcentral's name for it is "partial 16S ribosomal RNA". It matches the Rfam family "Bacterial small subunit ribosomal RNA", at positions 109 to 334 of the family's 1533-position model. The record is from RNAcentral.
AGUAAUGUAUGGGGAUCUGCCUGAUGGCGGGGGAUAACUACUGGAAACGGUAGCUAAUACCGCAUAAUGUCUGCGGACCAAAGCGGGGGACCUCCGGGCCUCGCGCCAUCAGAUGAACCCAUAUGGGAUUAGCUAGUAGGUAAGGUAACGGCUUACCUAGGCGACGAUCUCUAGCUGGUCUGAGAGGAUGAUCAGCCACACUGGGACUGAGACACGGCCCAG